AUGUUUUGCCACCAACCGAGGCCAGGUGUAGGCCUGGAACCCUGUACUUGCUCAAAAACCACUUUAAGACGUCUGCCAGUAUUAUUUGCCACAGAAGUCUAUCAAGAUCCAGGCAGGGGUAAGUGUCUUGCCAAGGAUACAAGGGUCCAGAGCAAACCUUUAGCUGUGCGUACACGUGGGUGCUCCAUCGAUCAGUCGUGUCUGACUCUUUGUGACACCACGGAGUGUGGUACAGCCCCCUACCCCGGCUCCUCUGUCAUUUCCCAGGCAAGAAUAGUGGAGUGGGAUGCCUUUUCCUCCUCUAGAGUAUCUUCCCAUCCAGGGAUCAAACUUGCAUCUCCCACAUUACAGGCAGAUUCUUUAACACUGAGCCUCCAGAGAAGCCAUGAGGAAACACAGGGACUUCUCAGAGGAACAGAACAUUCACUGAGAAUCCUUAACCCCGGGGAGGUGCCUAUCCAAUCUGUGAUGCCCAAGGCAAGAUCAGCUUGGGAACAGGGUGGUGUAUGUCCACAAAGAGAAUGCUGCAGAGGAUGCUGGAUCCUGGAAAUGACGUCCAGGGAUUCCACAGGGAAUGGUCUGAUAUACCUCAGGAUCUUAGAGAUGUGCCCUGCACUUCCAUGGCAAUGAUUACCACUGACCCACCAUGAGGAGGCUUGCCCAGGGGCUGCAUCAAGUCCUGCUGGCUCCACCUGAAGCACCAUGGCCCGGAAGUCGCUCCUGCCUUUUGAUGCCAGGCACAGCCUUAACCUGUGUCUCUGCUGCCUCCACACUUUUGAACCUGCCUGAACCUGGGGACGCUGGCGGAUGUUGCAUCUUUCCUGGCUACUACUUAUUUGUUGUGUUAUUCGGAUCUCAUACUCUGUCCCUCUCUCCCCUGGAAAUUGUUUUGUUUUCAAGACACCUCAGAGAAUUGGCAGCUCAAUUGGAAAUGGAAGGAUUUGUGUACCUUUUUUAAGUUUCUACCUCUGUCACUCUUAAUAAAGGCAGUGAGAAAAUAAACUAAAUAUUAGAA
RNAcentral lists this long non-coding RNA (1015 nucleotides) under Bos indicus x Bos taurus (hybrid cattle). RNAcentral's name for it is "lncRNA (ENSBIXG00005028195.1)". Lineage: Eukaryota; Metazoa; Chordata; Mammalia; Artiodactyla; Bovidae. The record is from RNAcentral.